UAGGAAGUGGUGUAGUGGAAGCAUAAAGAGUUUUGAUCUCUUUGGGAAAGGUUCGAAUCCUUUCUUUCUAG
Molecule: transfer RNA, 71 nt
Filed under: Thyrsites atun (snoek)
Lineage: Eukaryota; Metazoa; Chordata; Actinopteri; Scombriformes; Gempylidae
Description: tRNA-Gln
Rfam family: tRNA
About the family: Transfer RNA (tRNA) molecules are approximately 80 nucleotides in length.
Source: RNAcentral